Molecule: ribosomal RNA, 1105 nt
Filed under: uncultured organism
Description: bacterial SSU rRNA
Rfam family: Bacterial small subunit ribosomal RNA
Source: RNAcentral
AGUCACACUGGGACUGAGACACUGCCCAGACUCCUACGGGAGGCUGCAGUCGAGAAUCUUCCGCAAUGGGCGCAAGCCUGACGGAGCAAUGCUGCGUGCCGGAUGAAGGCCUUCGGGUCGUAAACGGCUGUCACUCGGGACGAAUUUUGACGGUACCGAGAGAGGAAGCCACGGCUAACUACGUGCCAGCAGCCGCGGUAAUACGUAGGUGGCGAGCGUUAUUCGGAAUUAUUGGGCCUAGAGGGUUCGUAGGGGGUAAUGUAAGUCCGGUGUGAAAUCUCGAGGCUCAACCUCGAAACUGCAUUGGAAACUGCGUUACUUGAGUGUCAGAGAGGAAAGCGGAAUUCCUGGUGUAGCGGUGGAAUGCGUAGAUAUCAGGAAGAACACCGACGGCGAAGGCAGCUUUCUGGCUGACAACUGACCCUGAUGAACGAAAGCUAGGGUAGCGAACAGGAUUAGAUACCCUGGUAGUCCUAGCUGUAAACGUUGUGCACUGGAUGUGGGCGGAUUUGGUCCCGUCUGUGUCUGAGCGAAGGCGUUAAGUGCACCGCCUGGGGACUACGGCCGCAAGGCUAAAACUCAAAGGAAUUGACGGGGGCCCGCACAAGCGGUGGAGCAUGUGGCUCAAUUCGAGGCAACGCGAAGAACCUUACCUGGGUUUGACAUAUACCUGACCGCCGGUGAGAGCCGGUUUCUCUUUGAGCAGGUAUACAGGUGCUGCAUGGCUGUCGACAGCUCGUGCUGUGAAGUGUUCGGUUAAGUCCGGCAACGAGCGCAACCCACGCUGUUAGUUACCAUCAGGUGAAGCUGGGGACUCUAACAGGACUGCCCGUGCUAAGCGGGAGGAAGGCGUGGACGACGUCAAGUCCGCAUGGCCCUUACGCCCAGGGCUGCACACGUGCUACAAUGGCCGGUACAGAGGGUCGCCACUCUGCGAAGAGGAGCUAAUCCCGAAAACCGGCCCCAGUUCGGAUUGGAGUCUGCAAUUCGACUCCAUGAAGUAGGAAUCGCUAGUAAAGGCGUAUCAGCAACGGCGCCUUGAAUCUGUUCCCGGGCAUGUACACACCGCCCGUCACAUCAUGGAAGCCGGCUGCACCCGAAGUCG